RNAcentral lists this ribosomal RNA (420 nucleotides) under uncultured Prevotella sp. RNAcentral describes it as "bacterial SSU rRNA". It matches the Rfam family "Bacterial small subunit ribosomal RNA", at positions 355 to 771 of the family's 1533-position model. The record is from RNAcentral. Lineage: Bacteria; Pseudomonadati; Bacteroidota; Bacteroidia; Bacteroidales; Prevotellaceae.
GGAGGAAUAUUGGUCAAUGGGCGAGAGCCUGAACCAGCCAAGUAGCGUGCAGGACGACGGCCCUAUGGGUUGUAAACUGCUUUUAUGCGGGGAUAAAGUGGGCCACGCGUGGCCUUUUGCAGGUACCGCAUGAAUAAGGACCGGCUAAUUCCGUGCCAGCAGCCGCGGUAAUACGGAAGGUCCGGGCGUUAUCCGGAUUUAUUGGGUUUAAAGGGAGCGUAGGCCGUCUUAUAAGCGUGUUGUGAAAUGUCGGGGGCUCAACCUGGGCAUUGCAGCGCGAACUGUGAGACUUGAGUGCGCAGGAAGUAGGCGGAAUUCGUCGUGUAGCGGUGAAAUGCUUAGAUAUGACGAAGAACUCCGAUUGCGAAGGCAGCCUGCUGUAGCGCAACUGACGCUGAAGCUCGAAAGCGUGGGGUAUCG